AGCAUGUGGUUUAAUUCGAAGCAACGCGAAGAACCUUACCAGGUCUUGUACAUCCUUUUGAAUGGUCUAGAGAUAGAUCAGGCCUUCGGGACAGAAGAGACAGGUGGUGCAUGGUUGUCGUCAGCUCGUGUCGUGAGAUGUUGGGUUAAGUCCCGCAACGAGCGCAACCCUUAUCAUUAGUUGCUAACAUUCAGUUGAGAACUCUAAUGAGACUGCCAGUGAUAAACUGGAGGAAGGUGGGAUGACGUCAAAUCAUCAUGCCCCUUAUGACCUGGGCUACACACGUGCUACAAUGGCCGGUACAAAGAGUUGCGAAACUGUGAAGUUAAGCUAAUCUCAUAAAGCCGGUCUCAGUUCGGAUUGUAGUCUGCAACUCGACUACAUGAAGUCGGAAUCGCUAGUAAUCGCAGAUCAGCACGCUGCGGUGAAUAAGUUCUCGGGUUUU
This 445-nucleotide ribosomal RNA is filed under the name uncultured Bacillota bacterium. Its description in RNAcentral is "bacterial SSU rRNA". It matches the Rfam family "Bacterial small subunit ribosomal RNA", at positions 936 to 1382 of the family's 1533-position model. Lineage: Bacteria; Bacillati; Bacillota. The record is from RNAcentral.